AACACCCUACUGUGUUCGAGUUGUGACUUUAUGUGUUUUGGGCCAACACUCACUUAUAGGGUUCCAAUAUCGCAGAUGUGACGCGAUAGGCCUGAGCCAAGGCGAAACUUCUGUUGCGGAACCCACCCUGCGAGAGCAGGUUCAAGACUAAGUCACUCACGGCACGGCGGGGUUUUU
This 177-nucleotide non-coding RNA is filed under the name Chloroflexota bacterium. RNAcentral's name for it is "Chloroflexi bacterium 6S RNA". It matches the Rfam family "6S / SsrS RNA". Rfam says of the family: E. coli 6S RNA was the first non coding RNA to be sequenced, but its function was unknown until recently. It consists of 184 nucleotides that fold into an extended hairpin structure with a large single-stranded internal bulge. Lineage: Bacteria; Bacillati; Chloroflexota. The record is from RNAcentral.